GUGCGCGGGUCUAUGCUUUUGAUCGGUAAAGACGGAGAAAAGGUGCUGCUUCUUCUCAGGGAUCACUGACCUAGGCUGUGUUGUGCGAAGCAGCUACUUGGUGCGAGGCCCUCUCUCCCUGGUCCAUAUAGACAGAAAUCAUAAGCUAAUAAGGUACAAUGUUGUGAUCUUUGGUGGACUGGAUGGCUACUCAAGGAAGGAGCUUCAGGAUCCAGGCAUUGACUGGGAGAGUGCUCUACUGCAGGAGGAAUCCAACAGCACAGUUGUGGUUCCUGAUGUUGAAUGCCCACUGGAUGAAGAAGCCCUGGAAGGACUUCAGAGAACAAUUAAUCCUUUGGAACAUUCAGGCUACGUCCACGCUAAUGCGUUUUCAAACGCAUCGUUUUCUCUCCGUUUUGGCCCCCCAUCCACACUGAGACGGCGCUUUCCUCAAGGAAGAACACAGCGUUUUGAAAACGCUCUCGAAAACGCAUACAUUUCAAAAAGCAACUGUCCCGUCGCAAUGUGGACACACGAAAACGCAGACUUUCUAAAACGAUGACGUAUUUUAGUCAUGUGACGCAGUCAUGUGAUCAAAUAAACAAAGAUAGCGGAGGGCAUUAUACAGCAGUUGUUUUGAUUGCUCUCAAUUUUGACAGCCCUAAAAAAGAUUAAUAUCAGUUUGUACAUGCUCCAGAUAGCUUUUCUUCAAAUUCAUUAAUUCUCACUUGCUUUUUAAUUCUCCCAAGCGUUUUCAUCCUUUUCAAUGUGGACGUACAACUCUGUGAAAACGACUAAAAAUGCUAGUGUGGACGCGGAGCGUUUUCAGAUGAAAACGCCGUUUUCAAAUCUCUCCGGGCUAGUGUGGACGUAGCCUCAGAAUCACACAGUCGUGACCUGUACAUAUAAUUCUUGCAACAGGUGUCAAACCAACAGUGACAGCUAACAUGGACUUGAAAAUCAACGCUCUUAAAAGUUCUCAAAUACUUGAUUUCUUUGCUAAAAUGUUCAGAUUACAAUUAGACAAGCAAACAAAGCACUUGCUUGGUAUCUCUCAACAUAGGACCCUACACCAAAUUUUACCAAAAAAUGUUUAACUAAUGACAAGAUAAGUACACAGAAAGUGCACAGAAAGUACCUAAACAAUGGAGUGUUGAUAUGAUUUGUACUUUAGUUUUACAUGGUAAUCAGCUGCCAUUUUUGGGUUCCUGUAGCUAAAACUAAUCUAAUUGAAUCCAGCAACACUGCAAAAAAUUACAAAUUUAAUUUGAAUCAACUGUAAAACAGAUGACCCCAAAAAAUAAAAAUUGUAACCUUCAGGAAGGUAGGAUUUAUGGGCAGUGUUGGGUAAGUUACUUUAAAAAAGUAAUUAAUUACUAAUUACUUAGUCAAUAUUGUAUUUAAAAUACUUAUCUAAUUACUGUGUCAGAAAAGUAACUUAAUUACUACAUAAGUAUUUAACUAAAUACUUCUUAAAAUCCAUAUAAACCUUGAGUGGACAAACAACAGAAAUUAAACUCUUUAAAUAAUACAUACAUUUUUUUAAAGACGGAGACUCUACAGUACGCAGCGGUAGCAUCUGUUCCACAAUGUAGCCUGCCAGGGCUGGACUGGGACAAAAAAUCGGCCCGGGCAUUUUGACUAGAGACCGGCCCACCAGGUAUUAUAGGAAAAACCAUAAAGCCUUUGAAUGAAAAC
Oreochromis niloticus (Nile tilapia) is the source of this 1677-nucleotide long non-coding RNA. RefSeq lists it as uncharacterized. NCBI's taxonomy places the organism in Eukaryota, Metazoa, Chordata, Actinopteri, Cichliformes, Cichlidae. The record is from RefSeq and is a predicted model, not a curated record. The transcript is spliced from 3 exons.